GCCCGCUUAGCUCAGUUGGCUAGAGCAUUACCUUGACAUGGUAGGGGUCGGGGGUUCGAGUCCCUCAGUGGGUACCA
This 77-nucleotide transfer RNA is filed under the name Chloroflexota bacterium. Its description in RNAcentral is "Chloroflexi bacterium (soil metagenome) tRNA-Val". It matches the Rfam family "tRNA". Rfam says of the family: Transfer RNA (tRNA) molecules are approximately 80 nucleotides in length. Their secondary structure includes four short double-helical elements and three loops (D, anti-codon, and T loops). Further hydrogen bonds mediate the characteristic L-shaped molecular structure. tRNAs have two regions of fundamental functional importance: the anti-codon, which is responsible for specific mRNA codon recognition, and the 3' end, to which the tRNAs corresponding amino acid is attached (by aminoacyl-tRNA synthetases). tRNAs cope with the degeneracy of the genetic code in two manners: having more than one tRNA (with a specific anti-codon) for a particular amino acid; and 'wobble' base-pairing, i.e. permitting non-standard base-pairing at the 3rd anti-codon position. The record is from RNAcentral. Lineage: Bacteria; Bacillati; Chloroflexota. RNAcentral also lists the same sequence under 1 other name.